UACGUAGGGUGCGAGCGUUGUCCGGAAUUAUUGGGCGUAAAGGGCUCGUAGGCGGUCUGUUGCGUCGGGAGUGAAAACUCAGGGCUUAACCCUGAGCCUGCUUCCGAUACGGGCAGACUAGAGGUAUGCAGGGGAGAACGGAAUUCCUAGUGUAGCGGUGGAAUGCGCAGAUAUCGGGAGGAACACCAGUGGCGAAGGCGACUUCCUGGCCUGUUCUUGACGCUGAGGCGCGAAAGCUAGGGUAGCAAACGGG
RNAcentral lists this ribosomal RNA (253 nucleotides) under uncultured bacterium. RNAcentral describes it as "partial 16S ribosomal RNA". It matches the Rfam family "Bacterial small subunit ribosomal RNA", at positions 524 to 776 of the family's 1533-position model. The record is from RNAcentral.